CUAGCCUUUUAAUUGGAGGCCUGCAUGAAUGGCUUGACGAGCGCCCUGCUGUCUCUCUUCCCAUGAACUUUUAAAUUAACUUUCGCGUGCAAAGGCGCGAAUGGCUGAGUUAGACGAAAAGACCCUAUGCAUCUUUACUGAGAGAGAAGAAAGUUCUUUAGCUUGGUUUAGCUGGGGCAGCUGAGGAAAAGGCAAAAUUUCCUUAAUAUAAGUCAUACUGGUGGGUUUAGAUCCAGGCUCUUUAGCGGGCUUGACAAGUAGAAAAGUUACGCUAGGGAUAACAGCGUUAUCCUUCUGUGGAGGUCUUAUCUGCAGGAGGGAUUGCGACCUCGAUGUUGAAUUAGGGAUAUACCAGAAAGGCGCAGAAGCUUUUAUUGUGG
Molecule: ribosomal RNA, 380 nt
Filed under: Pinna nobilis
Lineage: Eukaryota; Metazoa; Mollusca; Bivalvia; Pterioida; Pinnidae
Description: partial 16S ribosomal RNA
Rfam family: Bacterial large subunit ribosomal RNA
Source: RNAcentral